Molecule: long non-coding RNA, 403 nt
Filed under: Mytilus galloprovincialis (Mediterranean mussel)
Lineage: Eukaryota; Metazoa; Mollusca; Bivalvia; Mytilida; Mytilidae
Source: RNAcentral
AGCAAAUCUGACAAGGGAUAAAAUUAAUUAUCAGGUCAAGAUCUAUCUGCCCUGAAAUUUUCAGACAAAUCGGACAACCUGUUGUUGGGUUGCUGCCCCCGAAUUAGUAAUUUUAUGGAGAUUUUGCAGAUUUUGGUUAUUAUCUUGAAUAUUAUUAUAGAUAGAGAUAAACUGUAAACAGCAAUAAUGUUCAGCAAAAUAAGAUCUACAAAUAAGUCAACAAGACCAAAAUUGUCAAUUGACCCCUUGAGGAGUUAUUGCUCUUUAUAGUCAAUUGUUAACAAUUUUUGUAAAUUUUUAGGAAAUAUUUUCCACUGUAAUUACUGGGCCAAGUUCAUUAUAGAUAGAGAUAACUGUAGCAACAAGAAUAUUCAGUAAAGAAAGAUCUACAAACAAAUCACCA